UAUACCUGAGUAGCUCAAGUCAAGCGGGACAGUGCAAAAAGGUGGUUAGACGUAACCCCCCUUCCUUAGUAGUUUGUGCUAUGUGAGGGGAUAGAAUUUAUGAAUGGAGUGGGAGGAUCUGGGAGGAUAAGGGUGUAAUCUGGUUGAGCCUUCUAAGAAACGGGACUUUCUUUCUCUAGGCUGAGGCCACGGAACCGGCAAUUGAAGACAUGGAUUAGGUACCCAUUUAUUACCGACGCAAAUUUUGCUGUGGGCAGCUGCUUGGGUACUACGAGCGUGUGCUUAAAACUCAAAGAACUUGGCGGCUAGUUAACUACCUAGGGGAAUAUGCGCCUUAAUCCGAUGGUCCCCGUAGCAUCUUACUGUGCCUCGAAGAAGUUCAGCUGGUGUAUUGCCGUUGUCAGCUUGUAGUACGAGCGAAGAGUAACAGGCUCAACGGAACUUCUGACAAGUUCAGCAAGGAUCCAUGAAUUCAGGUCGAAAUGCUGCCAAUGGCUCAAGGGAGUGGGUGUUACAAUUUUAGAUUUAAAAUUACGGAUCUUUAGAUGAAAUGCUAGGGUGAAGGCGAACUUAGGAGUAAGGGAGGAUUAAUAUGCUCCUCUGAACGUGAUUCUAACUUUCGUACAAACUGCCCGUCGCUCUCGCUGAGAAGUGAGAUAAGUCGUAC
Molecule: ribosomal RNA, 667 nt
Filed under: Karnekampia sulcata
Lineage: Eukaryota; Metazoa; Mollusca; Bivalvia; Pectinida; Pectinidae
Description: Pseudamussium sulcatum partial 12S ribosomal RNA
Rfam family: Bacterial small subunit ribosomal RNA
Source: RNAcentral